GAAAUUGCCCUGAUGUGGGGGAUAACCAUUGGAAACGAUGGCUAAUACCGCAUGAUGCCUACGGGCCAAAGAGGGGGACCUUCGGGCCUCUCGCGUCAGGAUAUGCCUAGGUGGGAUUAGCUAGUUGGUGAGGUAAUGGCUCACCAAGGCGACGAUCCCUAGCUGGUCUGAGAGGAUGAUCAGCCACACUGGAACUGAGACACGGUCCAGACUCCUACGGGAGGCAGCAGUGGGGAAUAUUGCACAAUGGGCGCAAGCCUGAUGCAGCCAUGCCGCGUGUAUGAAGAAGGCCUUCGGGUUGUAAAGUACUUUCAGUCGUGAGGAAGGUGGUGUUGUUAAUAGCAGCAUCAUUUGACGUUAGCGACAGAAGAAGCACCGGCUAACUCCGUGCCAGCAGCCGCGGUAAUACGGAGGGUGCGAGCGUUAAUCGGAAUUACUGGGCGUAAAGCGCAUGCAGGUGGUGGAUUAAGUCAGAUGUGAAAGCCCGGGGCUCAACCUCGGAACCGCAUUUGAAACUGGUUCACUAGAGUACUGUAGAGGGGGGUAGAAUUUCAGGUGUAGCGGUGAAAUGCGUAGAGAUCUGAAGGAAUACCGGUGGCGAAGGCGGCCCCCUGGACAGAUACUGACACUCA
Molecule: ribosomal RNA, 632 nt
Filed under: Vibrio sp. enrichment culture clone OGS111
Lineage: Bacteria; Pseudomonadati; Pseudomonadota; Gammaproteobacteria; Vibrionales; Vibrionaceae
Description: bacterial SSU rRNA
Rfam family: Bacterial small subunit ribosomal RNA
Source: RNAcentral